AAGCAUCCUGUUAAGUCAGGCAACGAGCGAGCCCACGGCCAACAGUUGCCAGCUGUCCUCCGGGAUGGUGGGACACUGUUGGGACCGCCUCUGGCUAAAGAGGAGGAAGGAAUGGGCAACGGUAGGUCAGCAUGCCCCGAAUUAUCUGGGCUACACGCGGGCUACAAUGGGUGGGACAAUGGGUAUCGACACCGAAAGGUGAAGGCAAUCUCCUAAACCCAUCCGUAGUUCGGAUUGUGGGCUGCAACUCGCCCACAUGAAGCUGGAAUCUGUAGUAAUCGUGUCUCAAAAUGGCACGGUGAAUAUGUCCCUGCUCCUU
This 319-nucleotide ribosomal RNA is filed under the name uncultured Methanomicrobiales archaeon. RNAcentral describes it as "bacterial SSU rRNA". It matches the Rfam family "Archaeal small subunit ribosomal RNA", at positions 1019 to 1338 of the family's 1478-position model. The record is from RNAcentral. Lineage: Archaea; Methanobacteriati; Methanobacteriota; Methanomicrobia; Methanomicrobiales.